CUGCUGCUGCUACAGUAAUUUAAGAAAGGCAGCAGCUGGGAAAGACUGUUUCUCAUGGUAACCCUUUCCAUGUGUGUCCUCCACCCAGAUGUAAAGUCAAAGACCCUCCUCUCAAAGGAGCAGCUUUGAAGUUCUUAACUCCAACAGCAUAAACCCUUUAUCGCUGGUAUAAAACAACCAGUAAAAUAAGAUACCACACCCCAAAGACUCCAGGACCUCGAAAAGAAUAGUUAAUGCAGAGGAAGGAGACACAACCUUGCUUUGCUCAGGAAUCCUAAGAAUUGUGCUACAUUUUAACAGCAUUUUUUGAAGUCAGAGAAUGCAAAGCCACUCAGAGAGAUUUUUAUCUCCUCAGCUCAAACAACAGUGGUAAUAGACACUCCACCAUCUGAGUGCGCCUAUGACCUGGGUUUUGGCUGCUUCUCUGAGAUACUUUUGAAUUCAUAUGCUUUUAAUUUUUGAAAGAAAAAGUGUUUGGGAAAGGAAAUGAGCAUGAAAAAUAUAUCUGCAAUCUGGGAGCUACAGUUAACGGAAAGGAAUCGUCUGUUUCUUAUUUAUGUAUAUAAACACACAGAGUGAUGCUGAAGGACUCUAGAUUCUCCAAGUUUUUCAGAGUGUAAUAAAAAAGAAGCUCCCAUAAUUUUACAUACAGCUUGUCACAUACAGAUUGAUGCUAUUCACCCACAGAAGAGAAGCAAUGGGGUCUCAGCAUACUCUCCCCACUCCCAACAAGCCAUUCCCAGAACCUUGUGGUGCUGACACAAGGAGUACCACAGACUCUUCAUCCAGUUGUUAUGUUUACAUAAAUGAAAAACAUUUUGAUCACACAGUUGAAUGGUAGAGUUGCAUCUAUUUAACCCUGUAAGAAUUUUUUCAUGAAAGAGCAGGACCAAGUAUCUAAUACCUUUGUAUUUCUUGAAUGAAACCUGGAAGAGAAAGGGGGAGCAUGUUAGUUUGAACAAAAUGGCUUAUUUUCAGUGGUAGUUCCACUUCAUCCAAAUUCACUCCUAUUAUUCUGCAAACACCCACACUAGCUGCUUUACAGCAAUAAAAAAACAUUCAAAAUGAUCAAGAAUGGCUUAUAACUCUAUGUGCAAAUGGAUAUAUCAUAUUCACAUUACUACUUGUAGGGGAACUGUUCAAGAAACAAGCUGAAAAAGGCCUGAGAGCUCAGGGGGAAUGCCAUAAAACUUGGGCCAUAAAGCACACAGAGGAAAACAGUCUGCUCUCAAAGUAGAGCAGCAAACAAUUAAUGAGAAAUGUAUUGGAUGACAACCCUUAUCAGCCACUUCUGAAAUAAUUGCAAGUAUGUUUACAAAACUCAGAGCAUAUUCAAUGACAAUUUGAAAAGUGAAUAUGAAGCUCAAUUCAUUAAAUAGGUUAAUUAUUUCAAAUAGUUCAACCACUUCCUGUAAAUCACAAUCUGAAGAAAGCAGCUCUGCCUGAGAAGGGCUUCAAUUUGGCAUGGCUUGUCACCACAGUCUUUCCUAUGCCUUCUUGUUUAUGUAGCCUGUGAUGGCUUCAAUACUUGUGUCCAUGCAGCUGUCCUCUGAUUUAUGAAGGAUUUAUAAUGGUGUUAAAACAGACUGUUUAAGUCCACAGCAAAGCAACAAACACAAGCAUCUCCCCAUUUUUGUCAACACUGUGACAAAAGAGGGCUUGUAUGGAUAAUCUUUACUCCUGAGGGACCCCCCCCCCCCCCAAAAAAAAAAGGUUCAUUGUUUGAAUCUCCCCUGUGGCUGCCACACACCACCAGCAGUUACCUGGCCUCUUCCUCCUGCCUUGUCAUCAACAGCCUCCACAGUGGGGCAUCAAUACUCUUUCCUCAGCAAGGCAGGACACAUCUUCUUGGCAGGCACUGGCAUCCAUUUCUUCAAAAGAUAUUGCCAUCCAUCUCCUCAGAGGGUCACUGUCAUCCAUUUCUUCAAGAAGUCAGCACCUGUCACCUUUUUAGGCACCUGAGGUCAUCUCCUCAGCAGGGCACUGUCGGCCAUUUUCUCACUGAGGCAGCGUUCAUCCCCUCAGCAGGCACUGACAGCUCUUAGCAGGCACUGGCACCCCUCUCCUCAGCAUAGCACUGGCUGCCAUCUCCUCAGCAAAAUGCAGGCAUUCAUCUCCUCAGGUGGAGCCCACUGCCUGUCUCUGCAGUGCCAGGCACUUGCCAGCAGCCCCUCUGGGGAUCAGCGAUGUGUGGGCCCUGCCGCUGACCCUGAGGUACCUGGCUGCCCGCUGCAAGGUGAGCUGUGUGCCUGUGAUGGCGGCCAUGGCAGCCUGGGAGAAAGGCUGCUGGGAUCAGGUAGCAGGGCAGCGCAGCUGGCACAGCAGAAGGUGGAGACACACAGUGUUUCUUCAAGUCUCUGCUGCCCACAGAGGCUGCAGCAUGGCAGCAGAACCACACACAAGGGCAAGUGACAGUGGCCAAACCCUACACGAGGGGAGCAGAGCCCCGGAUUGGAAAGCCCCAAGGAGCAGAUGAGGCAGUAGGGUGUUCAGAUGGACAGAGACCAGGGCACCUAGAACCUUCUGUGUGCAAGGUAUGUCUGUGAGGGCUGAUCUUGUGGUCUCAGUCUGGGGCACAGAGACACUGCCGAGGUGUUGAAAGGGAGUGAAUGCACUGACUGAUUUGAGUCUGUUCCCAUCCCUGCUCUCUACAUGACAACAAUGACACACAGCAGGUGAAAUCCUAGAAACCAUGGUGACUGAGCUGUGCCACAGUGAGUGAGAGGCUUUCACUCAGCAGUACUUGACAUGAAGAGAUUAUGCAAUGCUGAAGUCCUGCAGCAUCAUUGAGAGCCCUGGAUCUCAUCCUCUGCACCCUCAUGCUGUGAACAGCCAGGUGAAAUGGGACAGAUGCUGCUGCUUCCUUGCACAUUUGAUGGCUGGGAUGCAUCUUUCUGAGUCCAUGUCUCCAGAUAACUCAACAGUGUGCCCUGAAAUAUCCAGCAGGACUUACAUAUAAGGAGAGGAGAUUACUGCCAGUGUGUUGCUGGCUAGAACAGAAGAAGCCAAAGAGCACAAGCCAUUUCCCGUUUUCCACAACUUCUCUCACAGCUCAGGUAACUGCUGAUGGAAAUACUGAUGGAAGGAGUGAGGACCAGGAGAACGAUACUUCUGUUGUUUUGGGUUAUGCAUUGCAGGUGAAAGUGCAUGGUCAGAGUCAGAGUGUGUGUAGAAGAAAGAAAAAAGUUUCUCUUUGUAAAGGAGCAUUUUAUCCUUGCUUACCACAUUGGAAA
Molecule: non-coding RNA, 3233 nt
Organism: Cyanistes caeruleus (blue tit)
Lineage: Eukaryota; Metazoa; Chordata; Aves; Passeriformes; Paridae
Source: RefSeq, a predicted model, not a curated record